GAACGCAUCUUGCGCUCCUUGGUAUUCUGAGGAGCAUGCCUGUUUGAGUGUCAUUAUCACCCCUCAAGCCCCCUGGCUUGGUGUUGGACGGUUGGCGAUGACCUCCGGGUCGUCGCCCCUCCCAAAGACAAUGACGGCGGCCUCGUUGGACCCCCGGUACAUUGAGUUCUUCACGGGACACGUACUGGAUCAAGGGUGCGCGGAGCACGGUCUUAACCAUUUCACCCCCCGUGGGCGGAAUAAUUUUUCUAGGUUGACCUCGGAUCAGGUAGGGAUACCCGCUGAACUUAAG
Molecule: unclassified non-coding RNA, 292 nt
Filed under: uncultured Chaetothyriales
Lineage: Eukaryota; Fungi; Ascomycota; Eurotiomycetes; Chaetothyriales
Description: sequence contains 5.8S rRNA gene
Rfam family: 5.8S ribosomal RNA (bases 1-53)
Source: RNAcentral